UGCAAGUCGAACGAAUCCCAGCAAUGGGGGAAGUGGCGAAAGGGGCAGUAAUGUAUGGGUACCUACCCCGGGGUUGAGCAUAGCCAUUCUAACGGAUGGGUAAUACUCGACGAUGUCGCAAGACCAAAGCUCCGGCGCCCCGGGAGGGGCCCAUAUCAGAUUAGCUAGUUGGCGGGGUAACGGCCCACCAAGGCGAAGAUCUGUAGCGGGUGUGAGAGCACGACCCGCGCCACUGGCACUGAGACACUGGCCAGACACCUACGGGUGGCUGCAGUCGAGGAUCUUCGUCAAUGGGCGAAAGCCUGAACGAGCGAUGCCGCGUGUGCGAUGAAGGCCUUCGGGUUGUAAAGCACAAAAGAGAUGAGAAAGGGCAACUUGAUCGAAUCUCAGUAAGCUCGGGCUAAGUUCGUGCCAGCAGCCGCGGUAAGACGAACCGAGCGAACGUUGUUCGGAAUUACUGGGCGUAAAGCGCGCGUAGCG
RNAcentral lists this ribosomal RNA (480 nucleotides) under uncultured bacterium. RNAcentral's name for it is "bacterial SSU rRNA". It matches the Rfam family "Bacterial small subunit ribosomal RNA", at positions 56 to 576 of the family's 1533-position model. The record is from RNAcentral.